GAUGAACGCUGGCGGCGUGCUUAACACAUGCAAGUCGAACCAAGCACUUUAUUUGAUUUCCUUCGGGACUGAUUAUUUUGUGACUGAGUGGCGGACGGGUGAGUAACGCGUGGGUAACCUGCCUUGUACAGGGGGAUAACAGUUGGAAACGGCUGCUAAUACCGCAUAAGCGCACAGCAUCGCAUGAUGCAGUGUGAAAAACUCCGGUGGUAUAAGAUGGACCCGCGUUGGAUUAGCUAGUUGGUGAGGUAACGGCCCACCAAGGCGACGAUCCAUAGCCGACCUGAGAGGGUGACCGGCCACAUUGGGACUGAGACACGGCCCAAACUCCUACGGGAGGCAGCAGUGGGGAAUAUUGCACAAUGGGCGAAAGCCUGAUGCAGCGACGCCGCGUGAGCGAAGAAGUAUUUCGGUAUGUAAAGCUCUAUCAGCAGGGAAGAUAAUGACGGUACCUGACUAAGAAGCACCGGCUAAAUACGUG
RNAcentral lists this ribosomal RNA (481 nucleotides) under uncultured bacterium. RNAcentral describes it as "partial 16S ribosomal RNA". It matches the Rfam family "Bacterial small subunit ribosomal RNA", at positions 28 to 507 of the family's 1533-position model. The record is from RNAcentral.